Molecule: ribosomal RNA, 275 nt
Filed under: uncultured bacterium
Lineage: Bacteria
Description: partial 16S ribosomal RNA
Rfam family: Bacterial small subunit ribosomal RNA
Source: RNAcentral
GCGUGAGUGAUGAAGGCCUUAGGGUUGUAAAGCUCUUUUACCCGGGAUGAUAAUGACAGUACCGGGAGAAUAAGCCCCGGCUAACUCCGUGCCAGCAGCCGCGGUAAUACGGAGGGGGCUAGCGUUGUUCGGAAUUACUGGGCGUAAAGCGCGCGUAGGCGGCUUUGCAAGUCAGAGGUGAAAGCCCGGGGCUCAACCCCGGAAUUGCCUUUGAGACUGCAUCGCUUGAACAUCGGAGAGGUAAGUGGAAUUCCGAGUGUAGAGGUGAAAUUCGU